AGUGAACGCUGGCGGUAGGCCUAACACAUGCAAGUCGAACGGCAGCACAGUAAGAGCUUGCUCUUACGGGUGGCGAGUGGCGGACGGGUGAGGAAUACAUCGGAAUCUACUUUUUCGUGGGGGAUAACGUAGGGAAACUUACGCUAAUACCGCAUACGACCUACGGGUGAAAGCAGGGGAUCUUCGGACCUUGCGCGAUUGAAUGAGCCGAUGUCGGAUUAGCUAGUUGGCGGGGUAAAGGCCCACCAAGGCGACGAUCCGUUGCUGGUCUGAGAGGAUGAUCACCCACACUGGAACUGAGACACGGUCCAGACUCCUACGGGAGGCAGCAGUGGGGAAUAUUGGACAAUGGGCGCAAGCCUGAUCCAGCCAUACCGCGUGGGUGAAGAAGGCCUUCGGGUUGUAAAGCCCUUUUGUUGGGAAAGAAAAGCAGCAGGUUAAUACCCCGCUGUUCUGACGGUACCCAAAGAAUAAGCACCGGCUAACUUCGUG
RNAcentral lists this ribosomal RNA (492 nucleotides) under uncultured bacterium. Its description in RNAcentral is "partial 16S ribosomal RNA". It matches the Rfam family "Bacterial small subunit ribosomal RNA", at positions 29 to 507 of the family's 1533-position model. The record is from RNAcentral.